This 465-nucleotide ribosomal RNA is filed under the name uncultured bacterium. RNAcentral's name for it is "partial 16S ribosomal RNA". It matches the Rfam family "Bacterial small subunit ribosomal RNA", at positions 28 to 507 of the family's 1533-position model. The record is from RNAcentral.
GACGAACGCUGGCGGCGUGCUUAACACAUGCAAGUCGAACGGAAAGGCCCUGCUUGCAGGGUACUCGAGUUGCGAACGGGUGAGUAACUCGUGGGUGAUCUGCCCUGCACUUCGGGAUAAGCCUGGGAAACUGGGUCUAAUACCGGAUAGGAGCCAUUUUUAGUGUGAUGGUUGGAAAGUUUUUUCGGUGUAGGAUGAGCUCGCGGCCUAUCAGCUUGUUGGUGUGGUAAUGUCCUACCAAGGCGGCGACGGGUAGCCGGCCUGCGAGGGUGGACGGCCACAUUGAGACUGAGAUACGGCACAGACUCCUACGGGAGGCAGAAGGGGGGAAUAUUGCACAAUGGGCGCAAGCCUGAUGCAGCGACGCCGCGUGGGGGAUGACGGCCUUCGGGUUGUAAACUCCUUUCGCUAGGGACGAAGCUUUUUGUGACGGUACCUAGAGAAGAAGCCCCGGCUAACUACGUG